ACAACCAAAAUCUAAUCUACACAUUCCCAUGGUUCAAACAAAUUUGAAACGGCCUUUCACAUAGCUCAAUUAUCAUAGGCUUAGGUUCAUAAUCACCCUUUAAUUAAUUAAUACUUUAACUAAUUAAAUUGAACGCAACAUUUUCAUUUGGUUUUUGUAUCCAUAAGAUUGAUUUAAAUGGAGCUAAAUGAAAUGAAAAUCCAAUUCUCAUUUAAAGAGACAAAACAAUUUUGUUCUCUACCUAAUUUGGGCCAAUAUGCAAUUACCACAACCUUUGGGCUAUAUUGCAAAAA
Molecule: long non-coding RNA, 293 nt
Filed under: Malus domestica (apple)
Lineage: Eukaryota; Viridiplantae; Streptophyta; Magnoliopsida; Rosales; Rosaceae
Description: long non-coding RNA (MDOM_LNC013034)
Source: RNAcentral